This is a non-coding RNA of Podarcis lilfordi (Lilford's wall lizard), 76 nucleotides long. Lineage: Eukaryota; Metazoa; Chordata; Lepidosauria; Squamata; Lacertidae. The record is from the annotation of a GenBank genome assembly.
GGAAAGGCCAUAGCUCAGUGGUAGAGUACAUGACUUUUCAUGCAAAAGAUCCCAGCUUCAAGCCCUGUUCUCUCCA